GAUGAACGCUUGCUACAGGCUUAACACAUGCAAGUCGAGGGGUAACGAGAGGGAAGCUUGCUUUCCUUGUCGACGACCGGCGCACGGGUGAGUAACGCGUAUCCAACCUGCCCCCAACUAGGGAAUAACCUUGCGAAAGUAAGACUAAUACCCUAUAAUUUCCUCAGAUUUCAUCUGACGAGGAAUAAAGAUUUAUCGGUUGUGGAUGGGGAUGCGUCUGAUUAGCUUGUUGGCGAGGUAACGGCCCACCAAGGCAACGAUCAGUAGGGGUUUGUGGAGGAAGGUCCCCCACAUGGGAACUGGCACACGGUCCAAACUCCUACGGGAGGCAGCAGUGAGGAAUAGUGGUCAAUGGGCGGAAGCCUGAACCAGCCAAGUAGCGUGCAGGAUGACGGCCCUAUGGGUUGUAAACUGCUUUUAUACAGGAAUAAAGUUAGCCACGUGUGGUUAUUUGUAGGUACUGUAUGAAUAAGGACCGGCUAAUUCCGUGCCAGCAGCCGCCGUAA
This 506-nucleotide ribosomal RNA is filed under the name uncultured bacterium. RNAcentral's name for it is "partial 16S ribosomal RNA". It matches the Rfam family "Bacterial small subunit ribosomal RNA", at positions 28 to 523 of the family's 1533-position model. The record is from RNAcentral.